Molecule: ribosomal RNA, 208 nt
Filed under: uncultured bacterium
Lineage: Bacteria
Description: partial 16S ribosomal RNA
Rfam family: Bacterial small subunit ribosomal RNA
Source: RNAcentral
CUGCCUGAUGAGGGGGAUGACUACUGGAAGCGGUAGCUAAUACCGCAGUAACGUACGCAAGACCAAAGAGGGGGGACCUUCGGGCCUCUUGCCAUCAGAUGUGCCCAGAUGGGAUUAGCUAGUAGGUGGGGUAACGGCUCACCUAGGCGACGAUCCCUAGCUGGUCUGAGAGGAUGACCAGCCACACUGGAACUGAGACACGGUCCAG